GAGUUUGAUCUUGGCUCAGAACGAACGCUGGCGGCAGGCCUAACACAUGCAAGUCGAGCGCCCCGCAAGGGGAGCGGCGCACGGGUGAGUAACGCGUGGGAACAUGCCCAGAGGUCGGGAAUAACGGCGGGAAACUGCCGCUAAUACCCGGUAAGCCUUGAGAGGGAAAGGAGCAAUCCGCCUUUGGAGUGGCCCGCGUUGGAUUAGCUAGUUGGUGGGGUAAAAGCCUACCAAGGCGACGAUCCAUAGCUGGUCUGAGAGGAUGAUCAGCCACACUGGGACUGAGACACGGCCCAGACUCCUACGGGAGGCAGCAGUGGGGAAUAUUGGACAAUGGGGGAAACCCUGAUCCAGCCAUGCCGCGUGAGUGAAGAAGGCCCUAGGGUUGUAAAGCUCUUUCGACGGGGGACGAUGAUGACGGUACCCGUAGAAGAAGCCCCGGCUAACUUCGUGCCAGCCGCCGCGGUAAG
Molecule: ribosomal RNA, 470 nt
Filed under: uncultured Alphaproteobacteria bacterium
Lineage: Bacteria; Pseudomonadati; Pseudomonadota; Alphaproteobacteria
Description: bacterial SSU rRNA
Rfam family: Bacterial small subunit ribosomal RNA
Source: RNAcentral